CAUCAGGAGGGCUUUAAACUGACUAAUGUGGGGGAGGGAGACAGUGCUCCUGAAGGUAGGAGUCUAUCAAUUGAUGAAGAUGAUCAUCCAAAUGUCAUAGACCAAAUGGAGCAAACAGCACACAGACCUAGUGGUGGGAGGAAAAAAUCCUUAAAUAAGAGACACGGGGCAAUGAUUAAUGGACUUCAAUGUCUGUACACUAAUGCGCAAAGCAUGGGAAAUAAACAAGAUGAGCUUGAGCUCUUGGUACAGCAAACUAAAUAUGACAUAAUAGGCAUCACUGAAAC
Non-coding RNA from Podarcis lilfordi (Lilford's wall lizard), 287 nucleotides. Lineage: Eukaryota; Metazoa; Chordata; Lepidosauria; Squamata; Lacertidae. The record is from the annotation of a GenBank genome assembly.